Molecule: ribosomal RNA, 677 nt
Filed under: bacterium 21A9
Lineage: Bacteria
Description: bacterial SSU rRNA
Rfam family: Bacterial small subunit ribosomal RNA
Source: RNAcentral
UGCAGUCGAACGGAUCCUUCGGGAUUAGUGGCAGACGGGUGAGUAACGCGUGGGAAGCUACCUUGUGGUAGGGGACAACAGUUGGAAACGACUGCUAAUACCCUAUGAGCCCUAUGGGGGAAAGAUUUAUCGCCAUGAGAUGUGCCCGCGUUAGAUUAGCUAGUUGGUAAGGUAAUGGCUUACCAAGGCGACGAUCUAUAGCUGGUCUGAGAGGAUGAUCAGCCACACUGGGACUGAGACACGGCCCAGACUCCUACGGGAGGCAGCAGUGGGGAAUAUUGGACAAUGGGGGCAACCCUGAUCCAGCCAUGCCGCGUGUGUGAUGACGGCCUUAGGGUUGUAAAGCACUUUCAGCAGUGAAGAUAAUGACAUUAACUGCAGAAGAAGCCCCGGCUAACUUCGUGCCAGCAGCCGCGGUAAUACGAAGGGGGCUAGCGUUGUUCGGAAUCACUGGGCGUAAAGAGUACGUAGGCGGACUGAUAAGUUAGGGGUGAAAUCCCAAGGCUCAACCUUGGAACUGCCUUUGAUACUGUCAGUCUUGAGAUCGAGAGAGGUGAGUGGAACUCCGAGUGUAGAGGUGAAAUUCGUAGAUAUUCGGAAGAACACCAGUGGCGAAGGCGGCUCACUGGCUCGAUACUGACGCUGAGGUACGAAAGCGUGGGGAGCAAACAGGAUUA